This 74-nucleotide transfer RNA is filed under the name Nitrososphaeria archaeon. RNAcentral's name for it is "tRNA-Leu". It matches the Rfam family "tRNA", at positions 6 to 65 of the family's 71-position model. Rfam says of the family: Transfer RNA (tRNA) molecules are approximately 80 nucleotides in length. Their secondary structure includes four short double-helical elements and three loops (D, anti-codon, and T loops). Lineage: Archaea; Thermoproteati; Nitrososphaerota; Nitrososphaeria. The record is from RNAcentral.
GGUCGCCAAGCCUGGUCAAAGGCGCAGGGCUUAGGACCCUGUCCCGUAGGGGUUCGUGGGUUCAAAUCCCACCC